CAACGGGCCGGGCCUUAAUCAUGCAAGUCGAGCGAACUGAUUAGAAGCUUGCUUCUAUGACGUUAGCGGCGGACGGGUGAGUAACACGUGGGCAACCUGCCUGUAAGACUGGGAUAACUUCGGGAAACCGAAGCUAAUACCGGAUAGGAUCUUCUCCUUCAUGGGAGAUGAUUGAAAGAUGGUUUCGGCUAUCACUUACAGAUGGGCCCGCGGUGCAUUAGCUAGUUGGUGAGGUAACGGCUCACCAAGGCAACGAUGCAUAGCCGACCUGAGAGGGUGAUCGGCCACACUGGGACUGAGACACGGCCCAGACUCCUACGGGAGGCAGCAGUAGGGAAUCUUCCGCAAUGGACGAAAGUCUGACGGAGCAACGCCGCGUGAGUGAUGAAGGCUUUCGGGUCGUAAAACUCUGUUGUUAGGGAAGAACAAGUACGAGAGUAACUGCUCGUACCUUGACGGUACCUAACCAGAAAGCCACGGCUAACUACGUGCCAGCAGCCGCGGUAAUACGUAGGUGGCAAGCGUUAUCCGGAAUUAUUGGGCGUAAAGCGCGCGCAGGCGGUUUCUUAAGUCUGAUGUGAAAGCCCACGGCUCAACCGUGGAGGGUCAUUGGAAACUGGGGAACUUGAGUGCAGAAGAGAAAAGCGGAAUUCCACGUGUAGCGGUGAAAUGCGUAGAGAUGUGGAGGAACACCAGUGGCGAAGGCGGCUUUUUGGUCUGUAACUGACGCUGAGGCGCGAAAGCGUGGGGAGCAAACAGGAUUAGAUACCCUGGUAGUCCACGCCGUAAACGAUGAGUGCUAAGUGUUAGAGGGUUUCCGCCCUUUAGUGCUGCAGCUAACGCAUUAAGCACUCCGCCUGGGGAGUACGGUCGCAAGACUGAAACUCAAAGGAAUUGACGGGGGCCCGCACAAGCGGUGGAGCAUGUGGUUUAAAUUCGAAGCAACGCGGAAGAACCUUACCAGGUCUUGAACAAUCCUCUGACACUCUAGAGAUAGAGGCGGUUCCCCUUUCGGGGACAAGAGUGACAGGGUGGUGCCAUGGAUGGUCGUCAAGCCUCGGUGUCGUGAGAAUGUUGGGGUAAGUCCCGCAAACGAGCGCAAUCCUUGGAAUCUAGGUUGGCUAGCCAAUUUUAGGUUUAGGACACCUCUAAGGCG
RNAcentral lists this ribosomal RNA (1156 nucleotides) under Priestia aryabhattai. RNAcentral describes it as "bacterial SSU rRNA". It matches the Rfam family "Bacterial small subunit ribosomal RNA", at positions 37 to 1165 of the family's 1533-position model. The record is from RNAcentral. Lineage: Bacteria; Bacillati; Bacillota; Bacilli; Caryophanales; Bacillaceae.